This 459-nucleotide ribosomal RNA is filed under the name uncultured bacterium. Its description in RNAcentral is "partial 16S ribosomal RNA". It matches the Rfam family "Bacterial small subunit ribosomal RNA", at positions 28 to 507 of the family's 1533-position model. The record is from RNAcentral.
GAUGAACGCUGGCGGCGCGCCUAACACAUGCAAGUCGAACGGCACCCCUCCUCGGAGGGAAGCGAGUGGCGAACGGCUGAGUAACACGUGGAGAACCUGCCCCCUCCCCCGGGAUAGCCGCCCGAAAGGACGGGUAAUACCGGAUACCCCGGGGUGCCGCAUGGCACCCCGGCUAAAGCCCCGACGGGAGGGGAUGGCUCCGCGGCCCAUCAGGUAGACGGCGGGGUGACGGCCCACCGUGCCGACAACGGGUAGCCGGGUUGAGAGACCGACCGGCCAGAUUGGGACUGAGACACGGCCCAGACUCCUACGGGAGGCAGCAGUGGGGAAUCUUGCGCAAUGGGGGGAACCCUGACGCAGCGACGCCGCGUGCGGGACGGAGGCCUUCGGGUCGUAAACCGCUUUCAGCAGGGAAGAGUCAAGACUGUACCUGCAGAAGAAGCCCCGGCUAACUACGUG